Ictidomys tridecemlineatus (thirteen-lined ground squirrel) is the source of this 581-nucleotide non-coding RNA. Lineage: Eukaryota; Metazoa; Chordata; Mammalia; Rodentia; Sciuridae. The record is from RefSeq and is a predicted model, not a curated record.
AGCCAGGGAGGAAGGGGAGAGUUCAGGGAAGGUCCCAUGAUCAGGGCUUUCCUCAGCUCUUCUACUCUUUGGGACUGAGUUGGGAUCUUCAGAAACCCCUCAUGGCUGGGGAUGGCUCACCUUCAACUCUCUCCCUGAGUUACUAAAGUAAAAUUCACGUGUAAUAGUCACCCUCUGUCCAUUCUGAAGGGUACAACCCAGUGUGAUUUAGUAAACUUGUAACUUUGGAAAACCUUCACCGCCAUCUAGUCAACAAUAUCCUCACCAUUCCAAAUGGAAACCUUGUUCCCAUUCAACUGUCCAUGGGACAAGCCUGUGUACUAGAAGACCUCUAGGACCCAGACCCAGCUGCUGGCCUUCACUCCUGCCCAGAGGAUGCCUCAGGCUCCCUCACUGCCCCACCUCAGCACAUUCUAGAGUCACAAGGAUCGAGCUGGUGCAGCCAGAGCCCCAGCCAUCAUCUCCAGCCCUUCCUAAAUAUCACAUGGCUCUCAGCACCCCUUGGGGAGAGAGGAGAUGCCACUGCUCUCAUGGCCAUGUGGAGGGCACUGAGUCAAUAAACACCUCAUUCAAACUUCUCA